Ostrea edulis (European flat oyster) is the source of this 369-nucleotide long non-coding RNA. RefSeq lists it as uncharacterized. The record is from RefSeq and is a predicted model, not a curated record. The transcript has 3 exons. NCBI's taxonomy places the organism in Eukaryota, Metazoa, Mollusca, Bivalvia, Ostreida, Ostreidae.
GGGAGAGUAUUGGAUCGUUAGCGACGACACUGUGUUUCUGCGAAACCACAUGCAGCAAAAAUGUUACGAGAAUUAGAAAUUACGUCUACAGUUUUCUUGAACUUUGGUGUAUACUUCGCAUUGGCGGAUUGUUAUUACAGAUCGUACUAUAGCAGGUACUAUUGCAGUUACAGUUACUAUGACUACAACUACUAUUACAUUGGUGACGGGGCAAUAGCUGGAAUUAUCAUCGGGGUUUUAGCGGCUAUUGGAUUGCUGAUAUUCGUCUUUGUCUGUGUUUGUAUCAAGAACUGCAAGGGAGUUCACUUCCGAACGAGGUCGCGAUUUGGAUGGCCAGUCGCGAAUUUAAAUAGCUCGGUGACGUACCAA